This 442-nucleotide ribosomal RNA is filed under the name uncultured bacterium. RNAcentral's name for it is "partial 16S ribosomal RNA". It matches the Rfam family "Bacterial small subunit ribosomal RNA", at positions 338 to 795 of the family's 1533-position model. The record is from RNAcentral.
CCUACGGGAGGCAGCAGUAGGGAAUCUUUCACAAUGGGCGAAAGCCUGAUGGAGCAACGCCGCGUGCAGGAUGAAGGCCUUCGGGUUGUAAACUGCUUUUAUAAGCGAGAAAUAUGAUCGUAACUUAUGAAUAAGGAUCGGCUAACUACGUGCCAGCAGCCGCGGUCAUACGUAGGAUCCGAGCAUUAUCCGGAGUGACUGGGUGUAAAGAGUUGCGUAGGUGGCAUAAUAAGUAGCUAGUGAAAUCUGGUGGCUCAACCAUUCAGACUAUUAGCUAAACUGUUAAGCUCGAGACCGGUAGGGGCAUGUGGAAUUUCUAGUGUAGGAGUGAAAUCCGUAGAUAUUAGAAGGAACACCAGUAGCGUAGGCAGGAUGCUGGGACGGUUCUGACACUAAGGCACGAAAGCGUAGGGAGCAAACGGGAUUAGAUACCCCAGUAGUC